Molecule: long non-coding RNA, 374 nt
Organism: Dromiciops gliroides (monito del monte)
Lineage: Eukaryota; Metazoa; Chordata; Mammalia; Microbiotheria; Microbiotheriidae
Exons: 3
Source: RefSeq, a predicted model, not a curated record
CCCAGGUGGGUACCCUGCCCCAACUUUCGAGGUCUUUUUUAUAUAUUCUCUUUCUUCCUUCUUGAGGAUAGAGACUGUCUGGCUAGCAUGAAUUGUAUACCCAGCACUUAGCAUCGAACUUAGCGCAUGGUUGCCAUAAUCAAUGAAUUUAUCACCUAGUGCCUGGCACACAUCUAUGGAUCUACCUAGUGGCCAGCCUCCUGAUGAAGACUCUCUCCAUACUUAAUCCUUGGACAGCAGAUUCAGUCUGUGGGCAGACUAUCUUUGAAGUGUUUUGCCAGAACUUAAACUCUGUUGGCAUCGUCUUUUAAAAUCCAGGGUCACCUCCAUGCAAAUGACAAGACAUCAGAGCAGGACUGUGUGACUUUGCUUGG